RNAcentral lists this non-coding RNA (233 nucleotides) under Cephalotus follicularis. RNAcentral's name for it is "Eukaryotic small subunit ribosomal RNA". It matches the Rfam family "Eukaryotic small subunit ribosomal RNA", at positions 57 to 388 of the family's 1831-position model. Lineage: Eukaryota; Viridiplantae; Streptophyta; Magnoliopsida; Oxalidales; Cephalotaceae. The record is from Rfam by way of RNAcentral.
GUGUAAGUAUGAACUAAUUCAGACUGUGAAACUGUGAAUGGCUCAUUAAAUCAGUUAUAGUUUGUUUGAUGGUAUCUGCUACUCGGAUAUCCGUAGUAAUUCUAGAGCUAUAUGGCCAUCGUGUUGGCGAUGCAUCGUUUAAAUUUCUGCCCUACAAACUUUUGAUGGUAGGAUAGUGGCCUAUUGUCAUCCCCUUAGGCUUAGGGCAUGGUGGCUGGCGUAGGAUUCUUGAC